CAUUGCAUUCUGGGAUAAACAUGGACUCCUGAGGUCUCCUGGCUUGUUCCAAAGCCUGGUUCCUCUCAACACGACACUUGGACUGACCUGCAUCUGUAACGUAUUGACAGGAGAGUCUGGUCUCGUAUACUGUAUACAAAUCUCCAGCACUACUGUUUUGUUUUUUUUUUGCUGAAGACACGUGUUCUUUGUCAACAAGAUCCUGUUCACACCUGGGAGCUGCCCAGUACACUUUCACAUAAUUUACUACUGUUGGCCAUUGAGCUGCCCUGCACAAGAGCACAUUUUUGAUAGUUGUACAGUGAGGAAACUGCAUUACAUAUUUUCUCCAUUUUUUUCCCUUGUGACAGCUUUGAGCCAUUUUUCCAACCUUUAUGCUCCCACUGCUAUUUUUGUUGCUAAUAACAAGCAGCCUGUAACAUGUUUAACCUGCUGCUCUCUACACUAAAAAGCCUCUCCAUUGAAAACAUUUCACAAUGAAGAUACAACAAACACAGACAAGUCAGAGACCUUUUAUGACACCGCUCCAAAAUGCUAAAACAACACAUUCCUCAACAAAUUACAUUUCCAGUGACCAUUAGCAGUACCAGACUUCAGCUAUAAGCAUCACAUUGUACAGUAAGUGCUGGGAAGUGUGUCUUGUACUGUUCAUUGAUAUUUUUGAAAUGUCAGUGGAAACUAAGCUUGUGUUCCUGCAGCUCUGAUGAGCCAGACCUGGUCUCAGGAGACAGAGAUGGAAGCAGCUAAAAGCUCCUGAGGAGUUGAGCUUCAUGUUCAACUGUUCCUGUGUACACAUUUACACCAGUGAGCUGACCAGUGUGACCGCAGUCCUCCACUCUUGGAAAAACAUUCUCCUUGGAUAAAUAAAAGUUUAAAACAGUCGUCUCCGGACCUGAGAGGAGACAGACAUGUUGUCUCCUCCAGAGCGGAGGACGGACAGAGCCAGACUAGGGUGAUGAUGUCACCGAGAGGGAUAGACAUGGUUACAUGUAUUCAUAAACCUGGACUUAGAGUAUAUUUAGUCUUACUUUAGAAAAAAAGGCUCAUUUAGUGUUGUAGUGUUCGUUUCUUGAGGAGACAAAGCAGUGACAGUUCAGUGUCCUACUGAAGACUCUGACUACUCAUUUAAAUAACUCUGAUUUAUGGAAAUGUAAAAACAACUUCAUGAUCAGAAGCAUUAAACAUUAAAUCUUCCCUUGUGCAUGUUUUAGUUGUUAGACAAGGCAGAAAUAUAUGCACAUCCAGAGGUUUGUCUCUUUAAUUUAUUUUAUUUUAAAUGUAUAUCCAUCAUUUGAAGAAGUUAGAUUAAUUGCAAAACACAUAGUAACUAACCUGACUGAAAAAAACAUCACUUAUGUGGACUUCAUGGUCUCUAUUUUAGAGAUUCUGAAUGUUGAGAUGGUUCAUGAUGUGUUAACUCUACACAUGUUUUUUGAUUCCAUCUAAUGUAAAUAAUGAAUAAACAGAUCUGCCUGCUGUAAUAGCACAUA
Thunnus maccoyii (southern bluefin tuna) is the source of this 1490-nucleotide long non-coding RNA. RefSeq lists it as uncharacterized. The record is from RefSeq and is a predicted model, not a curated record. The transcript has 2 exons. NCBI's taxonomy places the organism in Eukaryota, Metazoa, Chordata, Actinopteri, Scombriformes, Scombridae.